UGAAAGAUCAAAGUUUGAAGGGUUGUGCCA
RNAcentral lists this non-coding RNA (30 nucleotides) under Mus musculus (house mouse). The record is from RNAcentral. Lineage: Eukaryota; Metazoa; Chordata; Mammalia; Rodentia; Muridae.